GGGGGGAGGCCGGAUCCUGGGCUGUGUCCCGGCGCCCUGUGCUCCAGGGCCGUUGGAUUCGCGCUCCCGGCCGUGUAGCCCCCU
Non-coding RNA from Canis lupus familiaris (dog), 84 nucleotides. The record is from Rfam. Lineage: Eukaryota; Metazoa; Chordata; Mammalia; Carnivora; Canidae.